UCAUGAAAACAUGUCAACGUGGCGGCGUGCCUAUACAUGCAAGUCGAGCGAUGGAUUAAGAGCUUGCUCUUAUGAAGUUAGCGGCGGACGGGUGAGUAACACGUGGGUAACCUGCCCAUAAGACUGGGAUAACUCCGGGAAACCGGGGCUAAUACCGGAUAACAUUUUGAACCGCAUGGUUCGAAAUUGAAAGGCGGCUUCGGCUGUCACUUAUGGAUGGACCCGCGUCGCAUUAGCUAGUUGGUGAGGUAACGGCUCACCAAGGCAACGAUGCGUAGCCGACCUGAGAGGGUGAUCGGCCACACUGGGACUGAGACACGGCCCAGACUCCUACGGGAGGCAGCAGUAGGGAAUCUUCCGCAAUGGACGAAAGUCUGACGGAGCAACGCCGCGUGAGUGAUGAAGGCUUUCGGGUCGUAAAACUCUGUUGUUAGGGAAAGAAACAAGUGCUAGUUGAAUAAGCUGGCACCCUUGACGGUACCCUAACCAGAAAGCCACGGCUAACUACGUGCCAGCAGCCGCGGUAAUACGUAGGUGGCAAGCGUUAUCCCGGAAUUAUUGGGCGUAAAGCGCGCGCAGGUGGUUUCUUAAGUCUGAUGUGAAAGCCCACGGCUCAACCGUGGAGGGUCAUUGGAAACUGGGAGACUUUGAGUGCAGAAGAAGGA
RNAcentral lists this ribosomal RNA (665 nucleotides) under bacterium H4(2014). RNAcentral's name for it is "bacterial SSU rRNA". It matches the Rfam family "Bacterial small subunit ribosomal RNA", at positions 1 to 659 of the family's 1533-position model. The record is from RNAcentral.